UUCCGUACGAUCACUGAAGUUAAGCAACGUCGAGCCUGGUCAGUACCCAGAUGGUUGACCGCUUGGGAAUGUUAGAUGAUGUAG
This is a non-coding RNA of Acanthosepion pharaonis, 84 nucleotides long. Lineage: Eukaryota; Metazoa; Mollusca; Cephalopoda; Sepiida; Sepiidae. The record is from the annotation of a GenBank genome assembly.